This 389-nucleotide ribosomal RNA is filed under the name uncultured bacterium. Its description in RNAcentral is "bacterial SSU rRNA". It matches the Rfam family "Bacterial small subunit ribosomal RNA", at positions 29 to 408 of the family's 1533-position model. The record is from RNAcentral.
AAUGAACGCUGGCGGCGCGCCUAAUACAUGCAAGUCGAGCGAGAAGACGUAGCAAUACGUUUGUAAAGCGGCGAACGGGUGAGGAAUACAUGGGUAACCUACCCUCGAGUGGGAAUAACUAGCCGAAAGGUUAGCUAAUACCGCGUACGCUUCUUGGACUUCGGUUCAGGGAGGAAAGCGAUGCCGAGGGUAUCGCGCUCUUGGAUGGGCUCAUGUCCUAUCAGCUUGNGGUUGAGGUAACGGCUCACCAAGGCUUCGACGGGUAGCUGGUCUGAGAGGACGAUCAGCCACACUGGCACUGCGACACGGGCCAGACUCCUACGGGGAGGCAGCAGUAAGGAAUAUUGCGCAAUGGGCGAAAGCCUGACGCAGCGACGCCGCGUGGGGGA